ACUCAGCAAACGCCCGGCUUCAAGAGGCCUCAGAGAGCCAGGGGAGCGAGCUUCCAGCCUGAAGAACAAGCUGUUGUUGCUGUUUAUCAAGGGAGAGCAGAUACAUCAGUGUCUUCUGACAGAAAAAGUGAUCGCCAUCAGGAUGGUGAUGACCACGAUGAUCCCUAGGAUGACGAGCAGGAUGCGGUUCUGGAUGAUUCUAGGAGACAGCAAAGGAGAAAAAACACACACAGAUAAGUGGAAGGCCUUCCCACAAACGCCGUCCGAGGCCAGGUUGGCUAAUCAAACGGCAGCUUUGCAGGUGGGGGUGGGGAGCGUGUGUGUGUGUGUGUGUGUGUGUGUGUGUGUGCGCGCGCGAAAGAGACAUCACGCAGCUUUCUGGUUCUACAAACGAUCCACGAGGAAACGAAAGGCUCCACAUGAUUGUCACGCUGCCCUCCGAGAAAUGCUUACUGCAAAGCUAAGGCGAAUCAAAUGGCUUUCGAGGCUCAGAAAAUCAUGUAGCCUCUUUAAGUGAUCAAGGGCCCCUUGCGAGCUUCUCUUUCUAAUUUAAAAGGCGAGACAAGCCUCAUUUUUUGCAGUGUUUCCUGUUAAAGUAAAAUACUCCAAGGAAACACAUGUCAGCAAUGUACUUACCUGCACAAAAAUACCUGGGGAAAAGUAAAACAGAGACUAAGGAAGAAAAGGAUGGGAUUAAGAAACAAGUGUCAAAUGUGCAGCUUAGGCUGUGAAACCAUCAUCUGUCAGUGUGGCUCACGCUCCGUUACGCUAGGAGGAAACGUUACAUUUGCUCCAUAGCAAAAAAGAUGGAAAUGAGAAAUAUACAAUGUACUCAAGGUGCCUGUUGUGCGUCUGUUGCUGGGCCUUUACCUCCAGGGAUUCUACCUCCCUGGGUUCUGGCUGGGCUGCACGCUGAUGGGGAACCAGCAACUUAGAAGGGGGACCAGAGUGGAGACACACGCUCCCAGAUGCCUGCAGAGAGCUUCUGAUGAGGUUGUUUCAUAAUUUGUUACCUCAUUCGGAGAAAAGAGGUCGAACAUCAGAAUGCUUUGUUGAGAGUUUCAAAGGGAACCUAGGUCAAACAGCCGUGCCCACGCUCGCUCUCACAGAGCUGCACGGAAAUAGAGACAUGAGCUGGCUGGCAGUCUAGCCAGCUAUCUGUCCAGCUUAAAACCCCACGGCAAACCCCAUCCAACCCUCCUCCAAAUACCAAGCAGCAAAAGGCCUGCUGCCCUACUCCAGUCACCAAACACUGGACAUGGGUCUUCCAUGGGGAGGAGCUGGGGAGAUGAAGCUGGGCUCCCCACGGAACAGAGACCCCACACCCCUACUUUGUAUCUUCACACACAAAAAAAUCUUUGCAGGGUAUUUUCUACUUCCUAGAUGAGUUUAUUUCCUGGAAGGAUGACAUCAGGUUGUAGUUUUAGUCAGAUUCCUCCUCACCCAUCCCCUUCUUCUCCAAACCUAAACGGUUGAAUGGAAACUGUCUUAUCAGACCAACCCACUCCCUCGUGGCCCCCUAAAAGGACGAGCUCUCUCUCCUCCUGACAGGUAACAAAAUGAUCACAUUUGCUGACACGUCUUCCGCAAAACUGCCUUAGUGCCUCUGUCCACUCUCCUCGCAGGAGAUGAAUGGUCCACUUGGUCCUCAUUUAUCACUCAAGGCUUGGCUAAGAUCUGUCUCGUUUAGUUCUUCCCUUCCCCACUAGAAAGUCUGCACUCCGACAUUAAUUCUUCUGUGAUGACAGCUAAUUCAGACUUAACAGGCCACACUUACUCAAGAGGCAGGAAGAUUCUCUGUCCCCCAAAUAAAUAAAUAAAAACAGGACUUCAUGGCUUAUGAUAGUGAGGCUAAUUAUCAACACUGAUCGGUGCUACUUGGUGGCUCUGUUUAAAACCCAAAUUGAUUUUUUCCCCCUUUUCUCUGGGAGGGACAGGAGCCUUCAGAAUGGUCCCUACACAUCCCAUUUGCCCAAGUCACUGUCAAAAUCUCUAUUUACCACAGUCACCCGCAUCAGACUUGCAAAGGAAAUCAGCAAAAUUGAAACUCAGCAGUGAAACAGAUUAAAAGCAUGAAAACUCUUUAAAAUUCUGCCUUAAGUAAUCUACAGUAGUGUGUCUCUUGUACAGCUUGGUUGACAACCAUUUUAUUUGUGGGUUGAGGGCCCCAAGGCAUCCAUGAUGCUAAUUUAGAAAGGAUUAACUGUGGGUGUUACUUGUUCAAUCUGAGGCAUGGUAAGAAAUAUGAAUACACAGGAAUCCUUAAAUCCUCAGCUCUUCCCUAACCUUCCUAAUUGGGCUUCACCCCCUCCUUGGUGCACCCACAGGGCCUGGUGGCUUCCCCUCCACCGCCCGCUCUGUUGCUUCCAAGGGCCCAACCUGUGUGGACUGGGACCAUGUGGAAUUCACCUCUACCACCCCAGCACAUGGCACAGUCGCGUUGCACACAGGUACUCAAAAGAGAACUGCCCAAAGAGUGAUCGUGAAAGAAUGCAGUCUCUGGUAACUGUAAUCUUCCAUUCAAAGGAGAAUGGAGAAGUCUGUGCAAUUAAUUUGCAGGAAAAUCUCAGGAAGUCUGCAUGGAAAAGGUUAAAGUUCAAAGUUGAAGCAAGCCCCGUCAAAGAUGAAACUUCCUACCAUCACGCCUUCUCAGCACUACUUGGUCUUCCCCCUGAAGCUAGAAGGAACUCCUUUGUGCUGGGUGGGGGCGGGGUGUCAGCAGGAAAGGGCAUUUGCUUUCAAACCAAAUGCUGGCAGACAUUUGGGAGGAAGAGUAGAAGGGGAUGGGGAAAGAGUUGGAAUAGAGAGAGCUCUAAGCAAGCUUGACUGGCUGGGCCAUCCACCCCAACCUUGGACCUCAAAGGAGUUGUGCAAAUGUGAUACCCCUCAGGACCAGAAAAGUGAACUGUCAGGGCAUCUGGGUGGAUAGGACUGAGCCAGUUUGGAAGGGGGAAAUACAGGCUGGCAUUGGUGGGCCCCAUCUGUGAGGAAGCUUAGUUGCAAUCGCAGCCAGGGGCUGCCGGCCUGUAUUGCUGUAGGCAAAGCAGAAAGGAAUGCAGAGCUCGGAGACAAUCAGAAAAACCAGCUAGGCCAAGGGGUUCCCAGCUAGUGAGAUGGCAGCGAAGGAACUUGGGGAGAAGCCCAAAGUAACUUCCUCCUAACUUUGGGCAAGGGGAGGGCUUUAUGUUGAACUAGGUCUGCAGCAAGCCGUCUUAAUCUCCCUUUUGAAAAUGCAAAGUGUGUUUACCCAGUAAAUAAUUUAAGAAAGAAUAUACACUUGAAAGAAGACAUCCAUUGAAACAGCCAGGCUAAAUUGCCUCCAGGCAAAAACUUGUGCAUUUGCAUGCUGCAUUCUAUUAAGUGAGCACACUGUGGCUUUAAAAGAAUGCAGAGCCAAAAUAAAAGGAAUGUGGGCCCGAAACAUCAAGGAUUCUCCAAGUUUACAUUAUGAAUCACAGUGCUGUUGAUACAAGAUGAAUUAACCAUUUACUUUGAGGCUGAACUCACAAAGUACUAUUGAAAGUACUGAUCCCCAUGUGGAACUCAGGGAGCGGUUAAUCUUUCCAUUGCCAGUCUCCUCCCAGCCUGGAAACGAGCUCCUGCGUGUGGCAGCCGGAAUCACAGAAGGCUGGUUCCAGUGCAGGGGACAGGCGCGGCACUGCACCUGGCACAGUUCUCUGCUCUUGCUCGAGGAGCCCAGGAAUUCCACUGGAACAGGCAUUACGAGUGUUCUCCAAUAGCCAGUUCUCCUCUACUUCCAGGCAUGGACUGCACUCUUUUUUUUUUUUUUUUUUUUUUUUUUUUUGAGACGGAGUCUCGCUCUGUCGCCCAGGCUGGAGUGCAGUGGCGCAAUCUCGGCUCACUGCAAGCUCCGCCUCCCGGGCUCACGCCAUUCUCCCGCCUCAGCCUCCCGAGUAGCUGGGACUACAGGCGCCCGCCACCACGCCCGGCUAAUUUUUUUUGUAUUUUUAGUAGAGACGGGGUUUCACCGUGGUCUCUAUCUCCUGACCUCGUGAUCCGCCCGCCUCGGCCUCCCAAAGUGCUGGGAUUACAGGCGUGAGCCACCGCGCCCGGUCUGCACUCACCUUAAUGUUAGGCUUGGUCAUGGAACUAGCUUUGGCUAAAGAAAUGAGAGCAAAAGUUCUGAGUGUCACUGCCAGCUGGAGGCAUCUAACUUCCAGUGUUUGUCUCUCUAGCGGGCUCUUCCUGCGGUUUUGAUUUGGGGAGGGAGGGGCUGUAUUGUUCCAGAGAGUACAAGUUAUAGGAUGGUGGUAACAUCUUCUGCCUGGAUCCUGCAGUCAUUAUGUAAAGGGCCACUGUCCUGGAGAUGCACCUGGACUCCCAGUGGACUUGCGUUAAGCCAUUGAGGACUGGGGGUUGUCACUGCCGAAUACCAUAAGCUCUUUUACCCUGAGUGAUAACGCUACCGUCCGCCUCUCAGACAAGACGAGGCAUCUGGCCAAGCCAAGAGAGGCUCUGGUUUCAUGUAUUUCAGAAGCUAAGGUAUGAUGAAGACUGAUAAGAUUUUUUUUUUCUUGAAGAACAGGUUUUUGCCUCUUGGUUUUCAAAAGCUGGGAACCUCUUCUGACCUCUUGGUCACAACACUUUUCACUGAAGAAUCAGGAGCUUCUUCCAGCCAAUGCUCCUGUGUAUUGAUGACUGAUGAUAUCAUGCGUGAGGCCUCACCAGGCCUAGCCAGGCAUCCGCUUCCUGUGUACAGCAGAUCUACAGUGGCUGCGUUCGUUUCCCUAUUCCAAACAGCUGAUGCUACCCCAGCUCCAGGGGUACAGCUGUGACUGAGGCUGAGAUGGUCAGUACAUUCCAUGCCCCUGGCCAUGGUAACUGGACCAGGAGCAGGCUUGUGACUUAAGUCCAUCCAACAGAGUGGAUCUCAGCAACUUUGCUUGAAAUGCGGGGUCACCUGGACAGUUUGGUGUGUGGAUGUCAGGCUGGAUCCACUGCAGGCCUUUUGAUUCAUUGAGGGAAGCCAACCUAAGAAAGAAGCUGACCCACAGUGGGCAGAGAAAUAGAACCCCAGUCCUGAAGACAGAGAACUUUAAUUUUUAACUUUUUUUUUUUUUUUUUUUGAGAUGGAGUCAUUCUCUGUCUCCAGGCUGGAGUGCAGUGGUGCGAUCUCAGCUCACUACAACCUCCCCCUCCCAGGUUCAAGUGAUUCUCGUGCCUCAGCCUCCCAAGUACUUGGGAUUACAGGCACCUGCCACCAUGUCCAGCUAAUUUUUGUAUUUUUAGUAGAGAUGGGGUUUCACCGUGUUGGCCAACCUGGUUCCAAACUUCUGACCUCAGGUGAUCUGCCCAUCUUGGCCUCCCAAAGUGCUGGGAUUACAAGUGUGAGCCACCAUGCCAGGCCGACAGUGAACAUUUUUUUUUUUUUAAAUCAAACCACCCUUUCUUUGGACUUUAACUUAUAUGAGAAAAUAAACUGACUUUAUUUUCCAAAGUCAGUUUGAAUUGGGUUUUCUGUUAUUUAUGACCAAAAAGCAUUUUUAGGUUGAGUCACCCUGAUUCCAAAACCAGGUCCUUGAUCUACGGCAUAUGUGCAUUCUUCCCUCCUCUUCCAAGAGGCAUUUCCUGGCUAUGUCCCUCUCGUAUUCUCCUAUCUCCCUACACAUCUCUCUUUCCAGUACAUUGACUACAGUCCCCAGUAAAAAGUGGACCUUCCACAGUCCGAAUUUCUUUUGUCUUUUGUAUCCCUGAUGCCUAACACACAGCUUGGCAUAAAUGUUCUCAAAACAUGCUUGCUGAGUGAAGAAAUGAGAGACUCUACCUACACGUGCUCAGGGUCACGUGGUUAUUGCUCUCCUGGUUUCUAAGGACUGCUUGUAGAUAAGCACAGCUUUAGGACUUAGCUGUUAGCCACUGUCCCAUUAAGGAUGCCAGCGGAGUCCCAACUUUUUUACAAGCCUGUGUUCAUUAGCUGGAGAGUGGCAGACACUUUACAGGUUCAGAGCAGCAUCCUGUACCUGCCUUCCUGCCUGGCCGACUGGCCCUGAAUAACGAUGCCCCACUUUUGGGGUCUGACAGAACAGUAACAAUUAGCAACCGUGAGAGCAUAGGAUAAAUUCUGAGCAGAGGAACCCGGAUCUGCUUCUCUCUAGGCACUUCCCAAAACAUGGGCCAAGGGAAAGCUCUUUAAAUUCUAUAUCCAAUUCAACGUUACUAUUCACCAGAAAGAAAUGAAAACAGGAGUAGGAGAAACAGUUAAUUGUCAUCUGCCUCAAACACUCACUUUAAUUGGAAGGGUUAUUUUCAGAGCUGGGGACAUGUUUGCCUCUGAGCUAGAGCUGUGCGGUUAUCAUGCUGCCUGAUAAUGCCCAUCUUGGGUCUUCUAUGUCCUGCAUCUCUAGGAGUAAUCCUCAGCCCCAUCGCGAGAAUUCAGGGAGGCUGAUCCCACUCUGAUUCCACAGAUGGACAUAUGGCCCAGGCAGGCCCAGCCAAUGACAGCUCUCUAGCUCUUGCACUACCAUUUGCUCAAGGAUUGGUCUGCCACUCAAGCCAGAUGGAAUUCCUCUUGGGAUUCUUCCUGGAAAAUCAAGAAAAAGAUACUGUCUUUACUGAGAUUGACUGUCAGGACAGUGAGAACCUGGAGCUGCCAAGGACCAUUCUUACUACCAUACCGGACGAGGCUGCCUGAAAGAAGCCGACACCAGAGGAAUGCAGAGCCGAGAGAUAAAGAAAAAGAGACGGAUUCCUGAAGACAUAUUUGAACCCCUGCUUCCUGCUGUGUGCCUGAAACCUGAAGAGUCACACUUCAGCUUCCCAGUUACAGGAGCCAAACAAUUCCCCAUUGACUGCAGCAAGUAUGGUUGGGGAUUCUCUCGCUUUCUUUUUUUUUUUUUUUUUUUUGAGAUGGAGUCUCGCUUUGUCGCCCAGGCUGGAGUGCAGUGGCGCAAUCUCAGCUCACUGCAACCUCCACCUCCCGGGGCCAAGUGAUUCUCCUGCCUCAGCCUCCUGAGUAGCUGAGAUUACAAGUGCUGCCACCACGCCCAGCUGAUUUUUGUAUUUUUAGUAGAGAUGAGGUUUCACCAUGUUUGCCAGGCUGUUCUUGAACUCCUGACCUCAGGUGAUCUGCCCACCUCAGCCUCCCAAAGUGCUGGGAUUACAGGCAUGAGGCACUGCACCCAGCCUCUUACUUUAAAUCAUACUGAUUGUACUGGAUUGAACAGUGUCCCUGCAAAUUCAUGAGGUUCCACCUGGAACCUCAGAAUGUGAUCUUAUUUGGAAAUAGGGUCCUUUUUAUUUUUUAUUUUUAAGAGACAGAGUCUUGGCCUAUUGCCCAGGCUGGAGGGCAGUGGUGCAAUCACAGCUCACUGCAGCCUUGAACGCUUGGACUCAAGUGAUCGUCCCACCUCAGCCUCCCAAGUAGCUGGGACUACAGGCAUGCACCACCGCACCUGGCUAAUUUUUAAAUUUUUUGUAAAGACAGGGUCUCACUAUGUUUCCCAGGCUGGUCUUGAUCUCCUGGCCUCAAGAGAUCCUCUUGCCUCGGCCUCCCAAAGUGCUGGGAUUACAGUCAUGAGCUCCAUGCUGAGCCACCACCAUGCCCAGCCUGGAAAGAAGGUCUUUGUGGAUGUGAUUCAUUAGAGAUCUUUUUUAUUUUUAUUUUUUAUUUUUUUUGAGACGGAGUUUCACUCUUGUUGCCCAGGCUGGAGUGUAAUGGUGCAAUCUUGGCUCACUGCAAUCUCCGCCUCCCAGGUUCAAGUGAUUCUCCUGCCUCAGCCUCCCAAGUAGCUGUGAUUACAGGCGUGUGCCACCACGCCCAGCUAAUUUUGUGUUUUUAGUAGAGAUGGGGUUUUACCAUGUUGGCCAGGCUAGUUUCGAACUCCUGACCUCAGGUGAUCCUCCUGCCUUGGCCUCCCCGAAGUGCUGGGAUUACAGGUGUGAGCCACCACAGCUGGACUUCAUUAAGGAUCUUGAGAGGAAAUCAUUCCAGAUUUAGGGUGGCCCUAAAUCCGAUGACUGGUGUCCUUAAGAGAGGACAAAGAGGGGCACGUGAAGAUGGAGGCAGAGACUGGAAUGAUGUUGCCACAUGCCAAGGAAUGUUGGGCCACCAGAAGCUGCAAGAGGCAAAGAAGAAUUCUUCCCUUACACUUUUGGAGAGAGCAUCGCCCUGUCAACUCCUUAACUUCAGACUUCUAGUCUUCGCAACUAUGAGAGAAUAAGUGCAUUUAAGCCAUGUUGUUACGGCAGCCCUAGCAGCCCUGGAAAAUGAAUACACUGAGUGCUCGGAUCCAGACCAGCAUAUGGAGCUGGUGAUCUUAUCUUGGGUUUCGUGAUGACUGUUUUCCACGUCUCCACCUUCUUCCCCAUGGCUGCACUGCACAUUUACUGUGGAUCUACACUAAGAUCUCCUCCAAAGGACAGGUAAAUGCGUGAUCACCUGAUCCCUCACCAAAGAGUAUGAGACAGAAAGAAUGGCAAGUGUUCUCUGGGAGCUGCCAAUGACCUGCCUCCAGAGAAGCCACAUACUACAUUCACGUGGAGGUUGAGCAACCACCCUCAUUUUUGGAGCCAAACUGCUUGGAUUCGAAUCUAGGAUCUACCACACACCAGUUGUACAGCAUUGGUUAAGUUACUGCAUUCCUUCUCUGAGAUUACAUCCUCUUGACUGUUUUAGUGUGAAAAUGAAAAUGUUCUUUAUUUAUGCAGUGAUAGUAGGAGAAGAUGUACCAGUGUCUUUCCUUGGACAUUAGAAAUGUAGUCUCUCAUUGGAAAUUACUCUUUCCUACUGGGCAAAAUAAAGAGUGAACAAUCUACCAUCAGGUCUCUAUGAAAGAAAACAGUACCAAUAUAAGGAAUUGGCACGCUCCAAAGAAUCAACGCUCUGCUUUCCCUCUAUUGGUAAAAUGGGGCCAAUAAUAGCAGCAUUCUGUUAAUGAAUUACAUUAGUAAAUAAAUGGCUUAAUUCAAUGUGAAGUGCUUAGAUCAGUGCCUGGCCAAUGGUAGUUGCUCAAUAAAUAACUAUAGGAACUAUUAUUACUCCACUCCUAUCAUACUCACCCAUCUCCCCACAUUACUUCUGGAAACUCCUCCUUGUCUGGCUGUACCCCCACAUGCAGGCAGCCUCCUGCCUCAGGUGCCUUGUUCUGAAAGCCUACAAAUCCCUUCUCAGAUUCCUGCAGAUGCCCAGGGCUCAACAGGGCACAUCUGGCCUUGGUCCUGAUUAGCUUGGAUUGUCCGGUCCAGGCUGAGCUACUCGCCUGGAAUCCCUGCCUUCAGCUCCUCUGCAGCUCUGUGAGCUUCUCUGGGGAUACUCGUUGACGGCCAAGAUGCCUCUCCUGGAACAUAUUGGUGAAGACUCGGCUGCCUUGGCUUUUGUGAUGGGCUUUAUUUUCCUCUAAGAUCUGACAUUCGAUACUUACCACUUAAUAGUCAUUUAUUUAACACCUUUUUCUUUCCUGAUGUCAGGAAGGACAAACAUUUUGGCAGAGGCUUAUCAGCCACCUGCAUCUCUGCCAACUUUUGAGGGAUGUGGUUACGUUUUCUAGAUCCUAACAUCAGAACUCUCUCUCUCUCUCUCUAACAUCAGAACUCUCUCUCUCUCUCUCUCUCUGGGCUCCAGGGCCACUGCUCCUUGUCUAGUCCCCCCAGCCCAGGUGGAGGGGUGCCCUGCUGUGGCUAAGCCCUGGGCUGCUCUGUUUUCUUAGUUGGACACUGAAUGAGACCGCUGCAGAGUGUGCUGUCUAUUCAAACUUGUGAUAUCUCCUUCAUAAUCUUAAACUGACUUCACAUACCCCAAAGCAGCAUUAAUCAGAUCUGCGCAGGUGAACUCUGGGUUCUUAGGCUGGGAGGAGGGUGGGGUGGGGUAACGAUCAGAUAACAGAGCCCCCAGGUUUGUGCAGGUGAAGCCACAUCACCUGCCAGCCUGGGAAGACAUAUCCUUCCCUCUAACCAAGGAAGAAAGUCCUGUGAGGGUGGGGGAGAUCCAGUCUGCAGGCUGUAGGCAUCAGGGGCAGGGACUGGGAGAACAGGGGCAUCUGCCCUUUUUCUAAAGCGAGGGGCUGCUGCUGACUGCUGCUGGGACUGAGACCUUCUGAUUUACCAAGAUAAGCCAGAAAUGGUGUUCUCUUUGUGAAAUCUCCCAAGUUUUAAAUAUUGGCAACAAAGUCAAAGUUUUCCAAAACACUGGAUGGCCAAAGAAAGCACAUCUGUGGGGUAGACUCACCCUGUGGGCCUUCAGUCUGCGACCUCUGACUAGUUACUAAGGAAGAAAUUAAAAGGAAGAGGGAGUGGUGGUGAGCGCAUCCCUGCCUUACCCUCCUGGAGAUUCCCUUGGAGGCAGGAAAAGCCCAGCCCUCUUGACCCCUGCGGCUCUCAGAAGCCUGAAGUUCAGCCUCUGUGGCAGCAUCAAUAACUAGGGUCUACACUGAGAUCAUCCAACUUAGCCCAUAACCGAUUCCUAACCGUGGAGUCAAAGGCCAGGGAGGGGUCAACAGGAGCCAGAAACCAGCCUGUGCGCGCCUCAUGGACUCUCACGAGAAGCAUAAGCAGAGAUCAGGGCUGGACCACACAUCUGCAGCCCCCUGACCUUGGCAUGGUCUGCAGCACGUGGCUGGAAAAGCCCAGCUGGUGACUCUAGGGGAGGAUGGUGUGCAUUUUCUAUGCAGCGUGUUAUAGGUCAGGAGGCCUGGAAUGGGAAAGCCAGAGGUCUCUCUUGGAGGAUGAGGAGCAAAGGCAGCCUUGUAGGGUUGCCUCUACUUACAAUUUGCUGUGUGAUCUUCCGGAGAACAAAUAGUGCCUCAGUUUAUCCAUCUUUAAAAUGGCAGUAAACAUAUGAGAACCCAGCACCCUUGAGGAUGGGCACCAAGAACCGUAUUUGUGGAUUUGAUGAAGAUAAAGAAAACUAGUUGCCAAGGAGUAGUGUGGCCUUUGAUCACUCUCUCAGGUCCUGUAUUUGGCAGCAAUGAGUAGGAAAAUCACCCAUGAAUUAGGAGGGAUCUUCAUACAGACUAAGUCAAAAGGCAGCCUGUGUCUUGCAAAGAGACAGCGACCUUUCACUCUGUCAUUCUUUGGGGACACUCCCUUCAAGCUCCCUGGCCUUAAUUUUCACAGAUGAGGGUGAUAUCUGACCCCCUAAUUAGUUACUAGACAACACGAUGGCCCCUAAGUACCAAUAAUAAGGUGUUUCCACUCCAGGUCCUCAGCAAAGGGAACAACCUGAAAUUCUCUCCUGUGGAAGACGUGUUGAAAGCCCAACUGAGAGACAGUGUUGGCUGAGGAGCCUAGUGAACUGGGGUCCACCUCUCCUGCUGGAGGCUCUGAAGUCGACCCUGGAGCAGCAGAGCCCCCUGAGGGUCCCACCUGCACAGCAUUGCUUUGGUUCACAGCCGCACUGACCUAACACCGCCAGCCUGAGGAAAGGAGGAUGGUCAGAGCGCCCUGCAGGGCUCACUGUGCUCCCUGGAAGGAAGCUUUGGAGCCUGGUGUUUACUAACCUGCACAGUGUGUGUCCCUGCGAAGAGGUCCCACGACAAAGUGUUCUCUCUCAUCAGAGCAGGGGAAAAGGCUGAGUUUCUAUCUCACAGAUACUGACUCACGUAGCUGAAACAAUUGCCCUCUCCAAGUCAGCUGCCAGAACGCUCAGAGAGAAAUCUGUGGGCCACCUCUUACAAAUGUAUAGGCGAUUCCACAGUUUGUGUACUAGCCUCCCCGUUACUUCUUUUGUAAAUAUUCAAUCUUAUUGUGUUGCAUAUAUUUAGGUAAAUGCUCUAAUUCCUUUUGGGACCAAGACAGGUUCAUACACAGGCACUAAAAAGGUGAGAAAACAAACAAACAAAAAAUCCUCACGUCAUCACAGAUUGGCUACUUUAAUGAUUCUGCCUUUAGUUUCCCUCCUAUCCCCAAAAAUUCUGUAUCAUAUCAUACUUGGAAUAUGAGUUUUCACAUUUACCAAAAUAAUAGGGUAUCUUAAUUUUUUUUUUUCUUGAAUCUCCUUUCAUGGCCAGCAUAGAGAGGUUUCUAGAAUGAACCCAAACUUGGGACUCGGGGCCCCUGGGCUCCUCCUGUAGCCAACUGCAGUGGAUGGUGGGUCCCCUUUGUUUGGGGGAUUUACAGCAAUUGUCUUAACGACAUGGACCUCUUUUGUGAAAGCUGCAGGCGUUCCCAGCAAAUGUUGGCUGCAAAUACACUAGCCGGGAUGUUGCCACGGUCACGGCCCUUCCUCGAACAAUCUAAAGCAUAUUUCUCUCUGUAUAUAUUUGUUUUUUUAGAUGCUUUAAAGCCUGGAAAACAAUCAUAGCUGAGGCCAUUUCUGAGAUGGCACUAAAAGAACCUACUCGGAGACAGAUAAAAAUAAUGAGAAUCUUUCUGUCAGGAAAGAUUUAGAAAAUAUCACUGGCAUUAUUAAAAUUUAAUUUUUUACUCCGCUUUUUGGUUCCCCUUUCCAGUGAUAAUGAGCAGGACUGCACACCUCCGCCUUGCUAGUACUUGUUUUGUGCAAUAAAUUCAGCCUUCCAGUCUGAAGACAUUUCAGACAACAGUUUUGACUGCUAUAGGCUUAUUUUUUACCCUGUGCUAUGCUUUGAGUCUUCCUAUAAAAACCAGUUCAUGAGAUAAUUUUCCACAAGGCCAGUGGAACUAAUAAAAAUCAAUUUUGCCCAACUGGUUCAGAGAAAUCUUGGGAAUAGCCAAGGCAGAACUGCAGAAAGGGGGAAAAAAAGGAUCAAUGUAUUCACUAAUGGUUUACUUGAUAGAGAACUAUCAAAUUAGCUGACAGGAGACGCUUGGCUGUAGGAAAUUUCCUUUCAGCCUAAACAGAAUGCCUUUUACAGGCCCAGGAAGAACUUUUCCCUCCCAGGGUUUGAAGAUACUCUAGUAUAGUGAUUCUUCCAAGGACUUGCCCACACCAGGGCCAACCUGGGGCCUGACAGAUGGUGGCCUCUGCUUGUCCAGAACCUCUUUUAUAUGAGAGGAGCCAGUUUUGUGAAGAGGUGGGCUGCAUUUUACUUGAAUUGCUCUUAGACCACGAGAUCAGUGGGUUGGGAAUUCAUCAGUUCACUUGGAUGCCUUAGGUUCUUGAGACCUUCUCACACCCCUUGCAGACACAUGACAGCCUUCUUUUUUUUUUUUUUUUUUGACGGAGUCUUGCUCUGGGGCCCAGGCUAGAGUGCAGUGGCUCAAUCUCGGCUCACUGCAACCUUGGCCUCUGGAGUUCAAGUGAUUCUCCUGCCUCAGCCUCCCGAGUAGCUGGGAUUACAGGUGUCUGCCACCAUGCCUGGCUAAUUUUUUUAAAAACAUUUUUUAGUAGAGACAGGGUUUCAUCGUGUUGGCCAGGCUGGUCUCGAACUCCUGACCUCAGGUGAUCUGCCCACCUUGGCCUCUCAAAGUGCUGGGACUACAGGGGGCAGCCACCGCGCGUGGCCCCGUGACAGCUUUUAGAUCCCCCAUAUUGGCUUCUUGGCAAUCCAAGUGGGAUUUCAAGGGGGCACCUCUUUUAUAAUCAGAACACAAGGCUUAACGACUGUCUAGCUUUCAUUAGUUCAAAACACUAGUUGAACUAACAGCAAGUCUUUGCACAGAAAGAAAAAGAACUGGAAGGAAACGCAGCCAAGUGUUAAUGGUGUUUAUACUCGGGUGGUGGGUGUUUUUUCUAUCUUUAUGUAUUUCUACACUUUCUUGAAUUACCGUAUCUUAUUACAUAUAUAAUAAUUAUUUAAAAUAAUGCUAAACUAAAAAUUCAGUAUAUUGAAUAAAAGAAACAUAAUAGACUAAUUUAUUCACAGUGUUAUAAGAGAGUAAGAGGGGGCUGGGCGCAGUGGCUCAUGCCUGUAAUUAAGCACUUUGGGAGGCCGAGGUGGGCGGAUCACCUGAGGUCAGGAGUUAGAGACUAGCCUGGCCAAUAUAUAGUGAAACCCUGUCUCUACUAAAAAUACAAAAAUUAGCUGGGUGCGCUGGCACAUGUCUGUAGUCUCAGCUACUUGGGAAGCUGAGGCAGAAGAAUUGCUUGAACCCAGGAGGCAGAGGCUGCAGUGAGCUGAGACUGUGCCAAUGCACUGCAGCCUGGGUGACAGAGCAAGACUGUCUCUCAGAAAAAAAAAAAAAAAAAAAGAGUAAUAGGGAAUGUGUAGGAGAAAAAAGAACAAGGGUAAAAAUUAUUUAAAAAUUUUUUUUAGUGACUUCUACUAUCCUAAGUCCUUCACUCAAAUUAUUUUAUUUAAUCCUCAUACCAAAUCUAUGGCAAAGGUGUCAAUGUUCCCAUUUUCCAGAGGAGGAGACUGAGGCUUAGAGAGUUAAGUUAGCCAAGAUCACACAGCUAGUUGGUGGAAAAGCUGGUAUUUAAAAUCGGAUCUGAUGUCAAAGACCACAUGCAAUACAACAGUGAGGAAAAUAACAAGUCACAGAAUGUCUUGCUUUCUAGCUGUAGUUCCAAACGGCUAUGAUGCCAGGUGAGUCACUUUGCAUUUAUGAUUAAAGUCAGGGACAACAACAUCUGUCCUUUUUUCCUAUCUCAUGGGUUCUUGUGAUGCUGAAAUUAGAUCACACGUGUAAAAGAAGAGAAAACGCAAUGUCCUCCUCAAAGGAAUAUGGUAAUAUGAUAAUAUUUCAUAUAAUAUCGGUGAGUUGAGGGUUGUCACGAAUGCUCUUUGGGUACUGAUAAUUUUCAAAGAAAAACUUAUACAAAAGCAGAAUUAUUAUUAAGACUAUAUUGAAUAAAUUUGUUUUUGAUGAUUCAGAAAGUUUAACAGAAUCUGACCCUAUCCUAGUCAUCAUUAGGACCACUAAUUUUCUUGCUGAUAAUAUAUUAUGUAAAAAGCAAGGGUUACAAAUAGUACGUAUAGUAUGAUCUGAAUUUUGCAAAAACUACAUAUAUAAAUGUAAAACAGAAAUCGGAAAGAUAUACAUUGAAAUGUAAAUAAUGAUUGUGUCUAGGCGUUGGGAUCAUAAUUUUAAUUUUUUAUUUAUUAUUUUAUUUUAUUAUUAUUUUUUAGAGGCAGAGUCUCACUCUGUUGCCCAGGCUGGAGUGCAACAGCGUGAUUAUAGCUCAUUGCAACCUCAACCUCCUGGGCUCAAGCAGUCCUCCCACCUCAGCCUCCUGAGUAGCUGGGACCACAGGCAUGCAUGACCACACCUGGCUAAUUUAUUUUUUGUAGCAAUGGGGUCUUACUCUACUGUCCAGGCCGGUCUCGAACUCCUGGCCUCAAGUGAUCUUCCCACCUAGCCUCCCACAGUGCUGGGAUUACAGGCAUGAGCCAAUGCGCCUGGCCAGGAUCAUGAUUUUUUAAAAAUCUCUGAUUUUUUGAAUUUUACAAUUUUUUUUUGCAUUUUGCAUUUUGAUUUGAAUUUUGCAAAUUUUGGGGUAAUAAAUAUGUACUGUUUCUAUAAUCAGAAAAUAUGAUCCAGCCCCCUCUUCCCCACAGUACAAAAACAUCACCUUUUUCCUUGAAUAAAAC
Molecule: long non-coding RNA, 15407 nt
Filed under: Homo sapiens (human)
Lineage: Eukaryota; Metazoa; Chordata; Mammalia; Primates; Hominidae
Description: non-protein coding lnc-ZDHHC6-8:3
Source: RNAcentral